This is a small nucleolar RNA of Cajanus cajan (pigeon pea), 78 nucleotides long. It matches the Rfam family "Small nucleolar RNA snoR122". Lineage: Eukaryota; Viridiplantae; Streptophyta; Magnoliopsida; Fabales; Fabaceae. The record is from Rfam.
GGCCAAUGAUGCACUCUUUAGCACGUAUUAUCAGAUGUUUUCUUGAUGAUAUCUUUAAUUGUCACUACCUCUGAGGCC